UAAAAGAUAAAACCCAGAAUAGGAAUUUAUCCUACGGUUCUAAGUGGGACUAACAGCAGAGGCACUGAAACCGAAACAGGAUUUCUUGAUUUUUGUUGGAGAUGGAGAUGCAGGGGUGUGUUUGCAGAGAAGAGAGGAAACAGAUGAGAAUAAGAGAAGAAAAAUCAUCUUCUUAACAGAGCUUCUCUUCUUUGGAAUUAAACUUGCGCUUUUCUUGUUGAAGCGUGGCUCUGUUAUGGCCGUGACAGCAGCUUCCAAUCUAUUGCUGACCUUCGCCAUUUUCUCUGCCUCCGUCGGCUUUGUCAUGGGUACGAGUAUUUCC
This 322-nucleotide unclassified non-coding RNA is filed under the name Hevea brasiliensis (rubber tree). Lineage: Eukaryota; Viridiplantae; Streptophyta; Magnoliopsida; Malpighiales; Euphorbiaceae. The record is from RNAcentral.